RNAcentral lists this ribosomal RNA (216 nucleotides) under Glomeromycotina sp. Its description in RNAcentral is "partial small subunit ribosomal RNA". The stretch from base 40 to 216 matches the Rfam family "Eukaryotic small subunit ribosomal RNA", at positions 686 to 864 of the family's 1831-position model. Lineage: Eukaryota; Fungi; Glomeromycota. The record is from RNAcentral.
GGGUCAGUAGGUUGGUCGUGCCACCGGUACGUACUGGUCUCACUGAUUCCUCCUUCCUGAAGAACCGUAAUGCCAUUAAUUUGGUGUUGCGGGGAAACAGGACUGUUACUUUAAAAAAAUUAGAGUGUUUAAUGCAAGCUAACGCUUGAAUACAUUAGCAUGGAAUAAUGAAAUAGGACGAUCGAUCCUAUUUUGUUGGUUUCUAGGAUUGACGUA